GCCCCAGGGCUACUGUGGCUACUAACUAUCUGAGGGAUGCUGGACAGUCACAUUCUGGUGCUCCCACGCUCCAACAGCAGGAGUUUGACCCGUCUGGUCCAGAAAGUUGUGUUCGACUUCCUAAUAAUGACAACACCCAGCUGUCCAUUUGGAACAAGGUAAAUGGGUGUGUGCUCAUUAAUCUAGGAGUGCGUGAUGGAGUUGAGUGGUCGGCCAAGCUGCUGAAUGUCUAAGCAGGCUGCUGUACAUUUGAUUUAUCGUUGGGACCGUGCAUUAGGAGCCAUUCAUAGCCAUUAGCCCGGACAGCUAAGGACGGCUCCGCCUCCUGCAGCCGAAGCUUUCUUUGCAGCUCGGGACAUUCUGUCCAGAAUGGGACAUCUGAAAGUGGCGUG
Molecule: long non-coding RNA, 392 nt
Organism: Fundulus heteroclitus (mummichog)
Lineage: Eukaryota; Metazoa; Chordata; Actinopteri; Cyprinodontiformes; Fundulidae
Exons: 3
Source: RefSeq, a predicted model, not a curated record